UAACGCGAAGAACCUUACCUGGGCUUGACAUGUGCCUGACCGCCCUGGAAACAGGGUUUCCCUUCGGGGCAGGUUCACAGGUGGUGCAUGGCUGUCGUCAGCUCGUGUCGUGAGAUGUUGGGUUAAGUCCCGCAACGAGCGCAACCCCCGUCGCAUGUUGCCAGCAUUUAGUUGGGGACUCAUGCGAGACUGCCGGUGACAAACCGGAGGAAGGUGGGGAUGACGUCAAGUCAUCAUGCCCCUUAUGUCCAGGGCUACACACGUGCUACAUUGGCGCAUACAAAGGGCUGCGAUACCGUGAGGUGGAGCGAAUCCCAAAAAGUGCGUCUCGGUUCGGAUUGGAGGCUGAAACUCGCCUCCAUGAAGGCGGAGUUGCUAGUAAUCCCGGAUCAGCAACGCCGGGGUGAAUACGUUCCCGGGUCUUGUACACACCGA
This 435-nucleotide ribosomal RNA is filed under the name uncultured bacterium. RNAcentral's name for it is "bacterial SSU rRNA". It matches the Rfam family "Bacterial small subunit ribosomal RNA", at positions 957 to 1393 of the family's 1533-position model. The record is from RNAcentral.